RNAcentral lists this long non-coding RNA (1376 nucleotides) under Vulpes vulpes (red fox). RNAcentral's name for it is "lncRNA (ENSVVUG00000029478.1)". The record is from RNAcentral. Lineage: Eukaryota; Metazoa; Chordata; Mammalia; Carnivora; Canidae.
GGGGGGGGGGGAGGAGAAGAGAAGCAGCUUUUCGCUCUAUUCAGCCUGGACGCGGGAGCGCGGACGAUUUCCGCUCCCAUUGUGAGGCGGGGCCCGGGGGCGGCCGUGAAUGGGGGGUCUGCCGAGCGGCCCGCGGGGCUGUCAGGCGGCUCAGCGUAAUCAGGGCUAAUGACGGUGGCCGGGCGCUCCGCGGGACAAUGCGCGGGGCCGCGGGGUUUUGUCGGCCUGAAUGGCUAAUAGGUUCGCCUGGGGGUGCGAGGGGGGCGGUGUCGGGGAAGAGGCGGCGGCGAGGGGAAAAGGGGUCAUUGUUCGCGCACCGGCCCGGGCGCCGAGGCGCGUCCCUCUCCCCGCGCGGCGGCCCCCGGGCCGGGAGCGGCCGACUGGAAGGCCGCGGCCGGGAGGCCCCCUGGAGGCCUGCUGCGACAGGGCGGCGGGAACGGCGGGUGCGUGGGUUCCGCGUACGGGAGGCAGCCCCGACACAACUCUGUUCCCCGGAGACGCCCAGAGGCUUUUAACUCUGCCUGGGGCUGCUUGUCAUCUAUUUGAAGCUCUCCAAAGGGACCUUAGCCCAUUCUGCAAUUCCGGAUAACCCGAAAUAACCAGCCAACUGGAAACCGACACCCCUUCUGUGCUCUGAAUCAUGGAGUCUUCCCUAGUUUUCAGGAGAGGCUGAAGAUGGAGAAAGACCAUCCCUGCCUUCGUCUGGCAAGGAGGAAAUAGUGGAAAUUUGCUUUAGGCAUUAUCUCCAGCACAGCCCUAAGCACAUUGUAUUGGAUUGUUUUUCUCACCUGCCACCCUCUUGACUGUGAGCUCCUGAGAGAAGAGACUGGUGUCCACCUCUGCAUUCCCAUGGUAUCCCAACCUUUAGCCCAGGGGUUAGCAGAUGGCAGACACUUAACAAAUGUCUGACAAAUUAAAGGAUUCACUAGAAUUUUUAUUUUUUUUAAUUUUUAAAAUUUAUUUAUGAUAGUCACACAGAGAGAGAGAGAGAGAGAGGCAGAGACAUAGGCAGAGGGAGAAGCAGGCUCCAUGCACUGGGAGCCCGACGUGGGAUUCGAUCCCGGGUCUCCAGGAUCGCGCCCUGGGCCAAAGGCAGGCUCUAAACCGCUGCGCCACCCAGGGUUCCCUCACUGGAAUUUUUAGAUGGGAAAACAAAUCAGCUGUAACAUCAUUACUAAAUGUUUUCCAUCAACUGGCUCUGCAGGUUGAAUUGCAAAACUUACCAUUAGAAUUUGAUCAAAUACAAGAAAUGAAACCAACUUUGAAAUACAAAGACACACUGAUACCUAAGAGCACUCAUACCUACCCACUUCUUUCUAGGAGCACUGAAUGUCCCAACAUUCAGAAAGUAAAUAAAACUGGUUUAUUAAAAGUCA